CACAGUGGUGCAGUAAUACACUAAAAUUGGAAUGAUACAGAGAGGAUUAGCAUGAAUGUCUGUUCACAAGGGUGACACACACACUCAUGAAGUCUCCAUAUUUUU
Molecule: small nuclear RNA, 105 nt
Organism: Myodes glareolus (Bank vole)
Lineage: Eukaryota; Metazoa; Chordata; Mammalia; Rodentia; Cricetidae
Source: RefSeq, a predicted model, not a curated record